GGAGCCUGCGGCUUAAUUUGACUCAACACGGGAAAACUUACCUGGCCCGGACACUGGAAGGAUUGACAGAUUAAGAGCUCUUUCUUGAUUCAGUGGGUGGUGGUGCAUGGCCGUUCUUAGUUGGUGGAGCGAUUUGUCUGGUUAAUUCCGAUAACGAACGAGACUCUAGCCUACUAAAUAGGGGACCGAUCAAUUGUUGUCGGUCCGUCUUCUUAGAGGGACAAGCGGCUUUUAGCCGCACGAGACAGAGCAAUAACAGGUCUGUGAUGCCCUUAGAUGUCCGGGGCCGCACGCGCGCUACACUGAAGGAAGCAGCGUGCUCAUCGCUGUCCGGCAGGACUGCGUAACCCCUAUAACCUCCUUCGUGAUAGGGAUAGGGGCUUGUAAUUGUUCCCCUUGAACGAGGAAUUCCCAGUAAGCGCGAGUCAUAAGCUCGUGUUGAUUACGUCCCUGCCCUUUGUACACACCGCCCGUCGCUACUACCGAUUGAAUGAUUUAGUGAGGUCUUCGGACUGGCGCUCGGAGCGACCUUCGGGUUGCGCCGGCGUGCCGGAAAGAUGACCAAACUUGAUCAUUUAGAGGAAGUAAAAGUCGUAACAAGGUUUCC
This 607-nucleotide ribosomal RNA is filed under the name Draculoides sp. SCH004. RNAcentral describes it as "SSU rRNA". It matches the Rfam family "Eukaryotic small subunit ribosomal RNA", at positions 1178 to 1804 of the family's 1831-position model. Lineage: Eukaryota; Metazoa; Arthropoda; Arachnida; Schizomida; Hubbardiidae. The record is from RNAcentral.